Carassius gibelio (silver crucian carp) is the source of this 574-nucleotide long non-coding RNA. RefSeq lists it as uncharacterized. Lineage: Eukaryota; Metazoa; Chordata; Actinopteri; Cypriniformes; Cyprinidae. The transcript is spliced from 2 exons. The record is from RefSeq and is a predicted model, not a curated record.
UGUAAUCCUUUUGAUAAGUUGUCUAAUAUCUUACAGCUAUGUGACAAUAAUUUUAUUUAAAAUAAAAGGCUCAUGCUAAAUUUGCUUAAACAUGGUUUCUAAGGUAACUCCAUAUCAGGAAAUGACAUCAGCACCCCAUUUUUGAAGUUCAUACAAAAGCAGUGUGUAACCUCAAAGACAGCUUUACACCAAUUAUACACAUUUUUCACCAGAUGAAUGAUGUUUUUAUACAUUUCUAUUGUCCUCCUCUUAGGGGUGCCAGCAGUUGUGCUGGGAGUGACUUUGGAUCAAGGUCCAAAGGUUGUGGUUAAAGGAGUGGGCAAAACUAUAUAUCUGCAAUGCAAAGCGGAUGGUCUGAGUGAUUCAGACUAUAUCCACUGGUACCAAGUUAAAGACAAAGAAGCCCCAACGAGGCUACUCUACAUCAGUAAAGGAGGUAGUGUUGCUCGUGAUACCAGCGCUGAUGCAGCUGACUUCACAGUGGACAAAGCAAAGCUUUAUGAUCUAAAACUGAGUAAGAUUCAGCCGAAACAUUCUGCUGUUUAUUUCUGCGCCUACUGGGACAGAAGCAGCG